UACAGAGGUCUCAAGCGUUGUUCGGAUUUACUGGGCGUAAAGGGCGCGUAGGCGGUCGUGACAAGUCACUUGUGAAAUCUCCGGGCUUAACUCGGAACGGUCAAGUGAUACUGUCGGACUAGAGUACAGAAGGGGCAACUGGUAUUCUCGGUGUAGCGGUGAAAUGCGUAGAUAUCGAGAGGAACACCUGCGGCGAAGGCGGGUUGCUGGGCUGAUACUGACGCUGAGGCGCGAAAGCCAGGGGAGCGAACGGG
RNAcentral lists this ribosomal RNA (254 nucleotides) under uncultured bacterium. Its description in RNAcentral is "partial 16S ribosomal RNA". It matches the Rfam family "Bacterial small subunit ribosomal RNA", at positions 524 to 776 of the family's 1533-position model. The record is from RNAcentral.